Molecule: long non-coding RNA, 741 nt
Organism: Macrobrachium nipponense
Lineage: Eukaryota; Metazoa; Arthropoda; Malacostraca; Decapoda; Palaemonidae
Exons: 2
Source: RefSeq, a predicted model, not a curated record
UAUGCACCGUACUACUGCUAUUGUGACGUACUGGAGAUCGAAGCCCUUUUUCAGAAGAGAAGACGAACACACCAGUGACACCACACCUGUUCGGAACUUCGGAAGUGUGAUUAGCAGGAGGAACAGAAAUACCCAUCUCGGAUUAUCAUUCAAGCCGGAUUUUUUGCUUCAUCCACGUUUUAUGUUCUCCAGUGCGAAGCUGCAUCAUCUGUGGUAGCCCUGACAAGAGUUGCAAGGAGAUAAAUACGGCAGGUUUCCGAAAAUCAACCUUGAUGAGGUCUUGAUGACUCAGAGGGACUGGAGGAAAAUAUGGCCGCCAUGCGUUGCCGUCGGGGCUGGCACCUUCUACGUAGAACAUUGCAAAGGAGAACUAGGAUAUUCUCAACGAAGAAAAUAAGCUUUUAGAAGCUGGUAAUCUACUUCAAAUCAGAGAAAAUGCAACAAGAGAACCACAGGACAUGAAGCAAGUAAUUCUAUGCAAAGAAAUCGGGACCUCUUCACCUGCAAGAGAACCACAGGACAGAAGCUGGCAAUCCUGUGCAAAAAAAACAAGAAAUCGGGACAUCUUUCCUAGCAAGAGAACCACAGGACAUGAAGAUGGUAAUCUAGUGCAAAAAAAGAUAACUGUGACCUCUUCACCAUCAACUAAGAAAAUAAGAUUUUAGAAGCUGGUAAUCACGAGUAACAGGAAGAUCUUUCUUUUCUGGACACAACUUAUUUUUAAAUAAAUAAUUAAUAAUU